CUACAGGCCAUCCAGUGACAACAUCCAGCACCAGAAACAUGUACUGAAAUUUUGUUGAACAAUUCGGGCUUCUUAAAGUUUUCACUACCUUGUAAUACCAGGCAAAGGUAGGCUCAGAAAGUUCUAGAUGUAUUCAUUUGUGGCAUCAUCUAUCAUAUCUUACAAAUGUGCUUUUGGUGUGCUCUUAAUGCAGCUGUUGAAUGUGGUUAAGAGGCCAGUUAUCAGGAUAUAUCAAUCCAGGUGCAACAUGUGCAUCAGCAUGACUGAAACCUUUGCCACAAUUUCCAAGUGUAUGACAUGUGGGGCCUAGCUAAAAGAAAUCGGCACUUUGCCAAUAUUAACGUGUCAAUUUGCCUUUAUUUUCUGUGCAAGAUGUAGCCCUGCUACUGCAACAGCAGUACAAAUUUGGUGCACCUACAGGCCAUUCAGUGUGACAACAUCCAGCACCAGAAAGAUGCACCGAGACUCUGUUGAUCAAGGGACACAAGCAAAGUGACACAUACACAACUAAUCACAUCAAAUUAAGAAUAUGUAUGUCUGAACAUUCACCAGCGAUAUGGAAAAUAUAGCCAAGUAUCUAUCCGUUUUCCCGAGUCACGAUUUCAACAGCGGACGUCUUAGAACCAUAACGCAACGACGGGUCGAGAACAGUUCCCAGAUUUCAUGACAGGACGGUGACGCUGGUACAAAAUGCAAAUCCCCACUAAAACUUAUUCAGCUCUUGGACACUUCCGAAUGACUGACUGACUG
Molecule: long non-coding RNA, 750 nt
Filed under: Triticum aestivum (bread wheat)
Lineage: Eukaryota; Viridiplantae; Streptophyta; Magnoliopsida; Poales; Poaceae
Description: long non-coding RNA (TAES_LNC026524)
Source: RNAcentral